AACGAACGCUGGCGGCAUGCUUAACACAUGCAAGUCGAACGAGACCUUCGGGUCUAGUUGCGCACCGGUGCUUACCGCGUGGGAACCUGCACUUGGGUUCGCAAUCCCUCCCCGUAAGGUGUGCUCAUACCGCAUAAUGUCUUCGGACCAAAGAUUUUUCGCGUUUGGAUGGGCGCGCGUUGGUUUAGCGAGUUGGUAGUGUAAAAGCCUGGCAAGGCGAGGAUGCAUAGCUGGUCUGAGAGGAUGAUCAUCCGCACUGGCACUGAGACACGGCCUAGUCUGCUACGGGAGGGAGCAGAGGGGAGUAUUGGGGGAGGGGGGAAGGUGUAGUCCAGCAAUGCGGGGGGAGUGAGCAAGGCCGUAGUGUUGUAAAGUUCUUUUACACGGGAUGAUAAUGACAGUACCGGGAGAAUAAGCUCCGGCUAACUCCGUG
Molecule: ribosomal RNA, 433 nt
Filed under: uncultured bacterium
Lineage: Bacteria
Description: partial 16S ribosomal RNA
Rfam family: Bacterial small subunit ribosomal RNA
Source: RNAcentral